RNAcentral lists this long non-coding RNA (193 nucleotides) under Lonchura striata (white-rumped munia). RNAcentral's name for it is "domestica (Bengalese finch) lncRNA (ENSLSDG00000008839.1)". Lineage: Eukaryota; Metazoa; Chordata; Aves; Passeriformes; Estrildidae. The record is from RNAcentral.
GCCCCGGCAGCGGGGAUGGCGGCGGCGGGCGGGUGAGGGGCCGCGGCUGGCAGCGCCGAGCCGCCGGCACCCGGCUGGGACAGCGCCGGGCAGAGCUCCGGGCAGCAGCACGAUAUUUCCAGGAAGUGCCUCGAGGAAGCUUCCUUAUGUAGAAGAACCCCACAAGAAACACAGUGUGCGCUUCCUGGCAACU